UACACCCUUGAUAGGCUUCGCUGGAGAUGCUGUCACGACGGAAGGAGAAGUCACUCUACCCGUGACGGUUGGCACCGAACCACGAUAAAGCACAGUCCAUUUGACUUUUGUGAUCGUCCAAAUGUCUUCAGCUUAUAACGCCAUACUUGGAAGACCCGGACUAAACACCCUCAGGGUGAUAGUUUCGACGUAUCAUCUCUUGGUUCGGUUUUCGAUCAAAAAUAGAGUUGGGAAGAUGCACGGAGACCAACAGCUCGCUCGCCGAUGCUUUCAGAUCUCUGCUCAAAGCGAGGAGUCGAAGGGCUCCCUGACGAUCGACAAGCUAGACCAACGG
RNAcentral lists this long non-coding RNA (334 nucleotides) under Elaeis guineensis (African oil palm). RNAcentral's name for it is "long non-coding RNA (EGUI_LNC052043)". Lineage: Eukaryota; Viridiplantae; Streptophyta; Magnoliopsida; Arecales; Arecaceae. The record is from RNAcentral.